CGGCGAGGAACCCUUUCCAGAGAAUUGAGAACUUACAUGUACAUGUAGGCGUAGGCGAAUUUGGUUGCGAAUUAUAUUUGGGAUAUACUCUGCCAUCCUCUGGUGACUAUCUUCAUCCGAUCAGGGUAGAGAACUUCGAAGAAACCAUACGCCUUGCCCAACUCGUGCCGGAAUUGAAGGUUUACUCCUGCGAGUGCUGUCCCGAGGAAAACGCCAGGAUUAGGGAUUGCGGUCUUUGCGUGGAGCAAUAAAACUGCAUGGGUCUUAUCUAACAAGGUCGGACUGAUGUCUACUCCACA
Molecule: unclassified non-coding RNA, 299 nt
Filed under: Lingula anatina
Lineage: Eukaryota; Metazoa; Brachiopoda; Lingulata; Lingulida; Lingulidae
Description: uncharacterized LOC112042266, transcript variant X3
Source: RNAcentral